Molecule: ribosomal RNA, 253 nt
Filed under: uncultured bacterium
Lineage: Bacteria
Description: partial 16S ribosomal RNA
Rfam family: Bacterial small subunit ribosomal RNA
Source: RNAcentral
GACAGAGGGUGCAAACGUUGUUCGGAUUUACUGGGCGUAAAGCGCGUGUAGGCGGCUUUGCAAGUCGGAUGUGCAAGCCCACGGCUCAACCGUGGAAGUGCAUCCGAAACUGCAUGGCUGGAGUCUCGGAGAGGAAGGUGGAAUGCUUGGUGUAGAGGUGAAAUUCGUAGAUAUCAAGCAGAACACCUGCGGCGAAGGCGGCCUUCUGGACGAUGACUGACGCUGAGACGCGAAAGCGUGGGGAGCAAACAGG